RNAcentral lists this ribosomal RNA (368 nucleotides) under uncultured organism. Its description in RNAcentral is "bacterial LSU rRNA". It matches the Rfam family "Bacterial large subunit ribosomal RNA", at positions 2099 to 2465 of the family's 2925-position model. The record is from RNAcentral.
CUUGACUGUAUCCCGGAAUUGGGUUCGGGCUUUUCUUGCGCAGCCUAGGUGGGAGGCUAUGAAGAUUUCCUUCCGGGGAAGUUGGAGCCAUCAGUGAGAGACCACUCUGGAGAGGCUAGAAUCCUAAUGGUGAUCCUUGAAUCAGGACACUUGACAGUUUCAGGUGGGCAGUUUUUCUGGGGCGGAAGCCUCAUAAAGGGUAACUGAGGCGCGCAAAGGUCCCCUCAGUCUGGACGGAAAUCAGACAACGAGUGUAAAGGCAAAAGGGGGCUUGACUGCAAGACCUACAAGUCGAGCAGGAGCGAAAGCUGGCCUUAGUGAUCCGACGGUGCCGCAUGGAAGGGCCGUCGCUCAACGGAUAAAAGUUA